AUAUGGUUAAGGAUUAAACUACUUUGUACACACUAAGUGUUCACCUUGAUUGACACCCUCCUAUGUGUACAAAUUCUGGCGGUUAGAUUGGAAAAGGUAUUGCUAAGAUCAAUGUACCAAAAUCUGCCAACUCACAUGGGUGCAUAGUGUCAACUUUUAUGUACAUAUAGCAUGGUCCAUAGGUUAAAGCCUUUUGAUUGUUUGCAUGGAGCACAUUUUAUUUCAUUUUUGAUGUAACAUUGGUUUCUUUCAACUUGGGUUCUAUUGUGCUUCUGGAACAUAAUUUUAAAACUUUUUUCCCAUCUUUUAUGUUACAUUGAUUUUCAGAAUCUGGUUUCUAAUUCAGUUGUAUUUCUGGAGCUUAAUCUUAAAAAUUUUCUCUGUAAGUUGAUAAAAUACCAAAACAAUCAUUCUAAAUAUUGAAGGGUAAUUGAGGCUGACGGAUGCAGCAUGUUAAUGCCUGUCUCAUGACAUAUUUGGUAUCCAAUAUUAAAUUUUGUUAGUAAUAAUGUCUAGAGCUACACUAUACACAUUACAUACAAGCCAUAAGCUUCCCUACUUUCAGAUUCAUGUGAUUGCAUCAGAAUACAUCCUUUCCUUGCCUCAAAACUUGGUUUGGAGCACACUUUAGGAUUACAUCUGACACUUUAAUUUGAACAUGUGAAACUAGGUUUUGAUUCUCUUUUGAAUUUAUAUUUGGUGUUUUACUACUCGAUUCCAUUGAGUGAAUGUUAGUUCUCGUUUCUUGUUAGAGAAUUAAAUUUAUUGAAAUGUGCCCUUUACUGGGCCAUUCGUGAAUUCACUAGAUAUUGAUUUUCUGAUCUGCCUCAUGUCUUAUCCAGAUAUUGUCUUUAUUGAGUCAUUCUUAAAAAAGAGGAGUUCUUUAAUUACAAGAUAUCAGGAAUCGGAUUCAUUAUAGGAUCUAUUUAGGUUUUUAAGGAGAUGGCAUGCUGCCACUCGGACUCGAACCGAGAUGAUCUUAGGAAGCAGUCCUGUUGGCCGAGCUUCUGUCGAGCCAGAGAUUUUUUUCCAGUUAUCCAUGUGAUACCUUUUCUCUUCGCAUUCAUUCAAGAUAUUGUGGGAAUGAACCUAUUCCUGAAUUUAAUGAAUUAGUUCCUGCAGAUACACUGUGGAUCAAUCCUUCUCCUGCUGGACAUUUCCACUUCUUAUUUCCUGGUGUAGAUGAAAAUUAUGCAACUAUGAAAAUGAUUUUUAUUAAAGUUGUAAUUGUAAUUUUGACCUAUUUGAGCCUUUUAAUGUCGAUGGUUCCUUGAAAGAAUUGAAGCUCCUACUGCAUGUUUUAGAAGUUACAUCUUUCUUACUAUGUUGAUAAUAUUGCUUUUACGUUUUUCAACAUCACAUAAUACUAAAGUGAAACACACUUAUUGUUCCAGUGAGAUCACUUCAGAAGGGCGGAGAAUAACGAAGCUUGAUCAAAUCUUGCUCAACGGAAACAAUAUUGCCAUUCUGGUUCCUGGUGGCUCACCUGACCCAGAAUAAGGUUGUCAGUUCCAGUUUGUUGAAUUAGUUUAUAAAACAACUGGUUAGCAUAUAAUCUACAAUUGUUGGUACAAUCUUAAUUGUUGAGAAAAAAUGUUAAUUCGAUGGAUCUUUAUGUUUGCGCUUUGUAUAUCGAAAGGGUUUGGCAGUUUGGCUUGAUGCUUGCUGGAAAAAGGGCCAACAGAUCGUUCAUUUCGAUAUUGAUGAAGAAUGCAUAUUCAAUUCUGGAAGUUUCUUGUAUAACAGAUCUUCAAGUAAUGAAUUUUUGUGCUGUUAAUUCAAUAUGCUGCUUUUUGCAAUUCCUUC
Molecule: long non-coding RNA, 1806 nt
Organism: Olea europaea var. sylvestris
Lineage: Eukaryota; Viridiplantae; Streptophyta; Magnoliopsida; Lamiales; Oleaceae
Exons: 2
Source: RefSeq, a predicted model, not a curated record